UACGUAGGGUGCAAGCGUUGUCCGGAAUUAUUGGGCGUAAAGAGCUCGUAGGCGGUCUGUUGCGUCGGCUGUGAAAACCCGGGGCUCAACUCCGGGCCUGCAGCCGAUACGGGCAGACUAGAGUCAGGUAGGGGAGAACGGAAUUCCUGGUGUAGCGGUGAAAUGCGCAGAUAUCAGGAGGAACACCGGUGGCGAAGGCGGUUCUCUGGGCCUGUACUGACGCUGAGGAACGAAAGCGUGGGGAGCGAACAGG
This 253-nucleotide ribosomal RNA is filed under the name uncultured bacterium. Its description in RNAcentral is "partial 16S ribosomal RNA". It matches the Rfam family "Bacterial small subunit ribosomal RNA", at positions 524 to 776 of the family's 1533-position model. The record is from RNAcentral.